GUAUCAGAUAUUAAGCUGAUAAGAACAGAUUAAAUUGUUUAUUGACAAUGAAUUUUUAUCUCAGUACAUAGGUGGCUACGCCAGAGGGGAAAUUUUCAUCAAAUGACGGGGCAUUUGGGAGAAGAGAUGCAAAAUCGGCUGAAAAUGCAGGAGAGUAUGUCUACACAGAGAGAGAGUUGCGAGAGGAGUUUUACUCAUCAUUUUUAAGAGUGAGAAGCUGAAGAAGUAGUAGAUCGGUGUGGGAAGUCAACGUUGUGGUACAGCCGGCGGAGAUGUGGACCCAGGAAUCACGUACUUGUGAAGAGUGGACACUUCCGUUCCACACAGCAUAGAUCAAAGGGAACAAAAAACACCAGGGCAUAGCAACAAAAGGUAGAGAUAAACAGUAGGGAUCGAUCAAGAGGGGGGGCCAAUUUUACUUCAUGGUGCUUUAUCCAGUGUACAGGUGUCAGCAGGCCAUCAAGGUAGAGCCAUCCAGUUGAAACGGACGGUCAACAGACCAUCAAGGAGGAGAAGUGGCAAUCCGGUGUGGGAAGUAGAGAU
Long non-coding RNA from Daphnia pulicaria, 543 nucleotides. RefSeq lists it as uncharacterized. The transcript is spliced from 2 exons. Lineage: Eukaryota; Metazoa; Arthropoda; Branchiopoda; Diplostraca; Daphniidae. The record is from RefSeq and is a predicted model, not a curated record.